GGCCGCAAGGUUAAAACUCAAAUGAAUUGACGGGGGCCCGCACAAGCGGUGGAGCAUGUGGUUUAAUUGAUGCAACGCGAAGAACCUUACCUACUCUUGACAUCCAGAGAACUUAGCAGAGAUGUUUGGUGCCUUCGGGAAUCUGAGACAGGUGCUGCAUGGCUGUCGUCAGCUCGUGUUGUGAAAUGUUGGGUUAAGUCCCGCAACGAGCGCAACCCUUAUCCUUUGUUGCCAGCGAUUCGGUCGGGAACUCAAAGGAGACUGCCGGUGAAAACCGGAGGAAGGUGGGGAUGACGUCAAGUCAUCAUGGCCCUUACGAGUAGGGCUACACACGUGCUACAAUGGCGUAUACAAAGAGAAGCGACCUCGCGAGAGCAAGCGGAACUCAUAAAGUAGUCGUAGUCCGGAUUGGAGUCUGCAACUCGACUCCAUGAAGUCGGAAUCGCUAGUAUCGUAGAUCAGAAUGCACGGUGAAUACGUUCCCGGGCCUUGUACACACCGCC
RNAcentral lists this ribosomal RNA (503 nucleotides) under Providencia rettgeri. Its description in RNAcentral is "bacterial SSU rRNA". It matches the Rfam family "Bacterial small subunit ribosomal RNA", at positions 884 to 1394 of the family's 1533-position model. The record is from RNAcentral. Lineage: Bacteria; Pseudomonadati; Pseudomonadota; Gammaproteobacteria; Enterobacterales; Morganellaceae.